UAUACAUGCAGUCGAGCGGACAGAUGGGAGCUUGCUCCCUGAUGUUAGCGGCGGACGGGUGAGUAACACGUGGGUAACCUGCCUGUAAGACUGGGAUAACUCCGGGAAACCGGGGCUAAUACCGGAUGGUUGUUUGAACCGCAUGGUUCAGACAUAAAAGGUGGCUUCGGCUACCACUUACAGAUGGACCCGCGGCGCAUUAGCUAGUUGGUGAGGUAACGGCUCACCAAGGCGACGAUGCGUAGCCGACCUGAGAGGGUGAUCGGCCACACUGGGACUGAGACACGGCCCAGACUCCUACGGGAGGCAGCAGUAGGGAAUCUUCCGCAAUGGACGAAAGUCUGACGGAGCAACGCCGCGUGAGUGAUGAAGGUUUUCGGAUCGUAAAGCUCUGUUGUUAGGGAAGAACAAGUGCCGUUCAAAUAGGGCGGCACCUUGACGGUACCUAACCAGAAAGCCACGGCUAACUACGUGCCAGCAGCCGCGGUAAUACGUAGGUGGCAAGCGUUGUCCGGAAUUAUUGGGCGUAAAGGGCUCGCAGGCGGUUUCUUAAGUCUGAUGUGAAAGCCCCCGGCUCAACCGGGGAGGGUCAUUGGAAACUGGGGAACUUGAGUGCAGAAGAGGAGAGUGGAAUUCCACGUGUAGCGGUGAAAUGCGUAGAGAUGUGGAGGAACACCAGUGGCGAAGGCGACUCUCUGGUCUGUAACUGACGCUGAGGAGCGAAAGCGUGGGGAGCGAACAGGAUUAGAUACCCUGGUAGUCCACGCCGUAAACGAUGAGUGCUAAGUGUUAGGGGGUUUCCGCCCCUUAGUGCUGCAGCUAACGCAUUAAGCACUCCGCCUGGGGAGUACGGUCGCAAGACUGAAACUCAAAGGAAUUGACGGGGGCCCGCACAAGCGGUGGAGCAUGUGGUUUAAUUCGAAGCAACGCGAAGAACCUUACCAGGUCUUGACAUCCUCUGACAAUCCUAGAGAUAGGACGUCCCCUUCGGGGGCAGAGUGACAGGUGGUGCAUGGUUGUCGUCAGCUCGUGUCGUGAGAUGUUGGGUUAAGUCCCGCAACGAGCGCAACCCUUGAUCUUAGUUGCCAGCAUUCAGUUGGGCACUCUAAGGUGACUGCCGGUGACAACCGGAAGAAAGGGGGGAUGACGUCAAAUCAUCAUGCCCCUUAUGCUGGGGCUACACACGUGCUAAAAUGG
Molecule: ribosomal RNA, 1197 nt
Filed under: Bacillus subtilis
Lineage: Bacteria; Bacillati; Bacillota; Bacilli; Caryophanales; Bacillaceae
Description: bacterial SSU rRNA
Rfam family: Bacterial small subunit ribosomal RNA
Source: RNAcentral